GACGAACGCUGGCGGCGUGCUUAACACAUGCAAGUCGAACGGAAAGGCCCUGCUUUUGUGGGGUGCUCGAGUGGCGAACGGGUGAGUAACACGUGAGUAACCUGCCCUUUACUUUGGGAUAACUUCAGGAAACUGGGGCUAAUACCGGAUAGGAGCUCCUGCUGCAUGGUGGGGGUUGGAAAGUUUCGGCGGUUGGGGAUGGACUCGCGGCUUAUCAGCUUGUUGGUGGGGUAGUGGCUUUCCAAGGCUUUGACGGGUAGCCGGCCUGAGAGGGUGAACGGCCACAUUGGGACUGAGAUACGGCCCAGACUCCUACGGGAGGCAGCAGUGGGGAAUAUUGCACAAUGGGCGGAAGCCUGAUGAAGCAACGCCGCGUGCGGGAUGACGGCCUUCGGGUUGUAAACCGCUUUCGCCUGUGACGAAGCGUGAGUGACGGUAAUGGGUAAAGAAGCACCGGCUAACUACGUG
Molecule: ribosomal RNA, 468 nt
Filed under: uncultured bacterium
Lineage: Bacteria
Description: partial 16S ribosomal RNA
Rfam family: Bacterial small subunit ribosomal RNA
Source: RNAcentral